Molecule: unclassified non-coding RNA, 368 nt
Filed under: soil metagenome
Description: partial contains 5.8S ribosomal RNA, internal transcribed spacer 2, and large subunit ribosomal RNA
Rfam family: 5.8S ribosomal RNA (bases 1-120)
Source: RNAcentral
GAUGAAGAACGUAGCGAAAUGCGAUAAGUAAUGUGAAUUGCAGAAUUCAGUGAACCAUCGAAUCUUUGAACGCACAUUGCGCCCGGCAGUAAUCUGCCGGGCAUGCCUGUCCGAGCGUCAUUUCUGCCCUCGAGCGAGUCCAGCAUCUAGGUGCUGGGCCCGCCCGGCGUUGGGGCACUACGGGAAGCCCUGUGCUGUCCCCCGUAGGCCCCGAAAUGAAGUGGCGGUCCUGCCGCGGCGCCCCCUGCGUAGUAUAACAGCUCGCUUCGGGACCCGGUGGAGGCCUGCCGUCAAACCUUACUCUCUAAGGUUGACCUCGGAUCAGGUAGGGUUACCCGCUGAACUUAAGCAUAUCAAUAAGCGGAGGA